GUGCAGCAGGCGCGAAACCUCCGCAAUACACGAAAGUGUGACGGGGCCAUCCCGAGUGCCGUCCGCUGAGGACGGCUUUUCCCCAGUGUACACAGCUGGGGGAAUAAGGAGAGGGCAAGCCUGGUGUCAGCCGCCGCGGUAAUACCAGCUCUCCGAGUGGUGGGGACGCUUAUUGGGCCUAAAGCAUCCGUAGCCGGCUGGGCAAGUCCUCCGUUAAAUCCAACGAUUCAAUCGUUGGGCUGCGGGGGAUACUGCCCAGCUUGGGGGCGGGAGAGGCCGACGGUAUUCCCGGGGUAGGGGUGAAAUCCUAUAAUCCCGGGAGGACCACCAGUGGCGAAGGCUGUCGGCUAGAACGCGCCCGACGGUGAGGGAUGAAAGCUGGGGGAGCGAACCGGAUUAGAUACCCGCGUAGU
RNAcentral lists this ribosomal RNA (413 nucleotides) under uncultured microorganism. Its description in RNAcentral is "bacterial SSU rRNA". It matches the Rfam family "Archaeal small subunit ribosomal RNA", at positions 330 to 745 of the family's 1478-position model. The record is from RNAcentral.